This 24-nucleotide non-coding RNA is filed under the name Mus musculus (house mouse). RNAcentral also lists the same sequence under 1 other name. The record is from RNAcentral. Lineage: Eukaryota; Metazoa; Chordata; Mammalia; Rodentia; Muridae.
UAGCAGCUUGUUUUCUCUGCUGGC